AUUGAACGCUGGCGGCAUGCCUUACACAUGCAAGUCGAACGGCAGCGGACCUUCGGGUGCCGGCGAGUGGCGAACGGGUGAGUAAUAUAUCGGAACGUACCUUUCAGUGGGGGAUAACGUAGCGAAAGUUACGCUAAUACCGCAUAUUCUGUGAGCAGGAAAGCAGGGGAUCGCAAGACCUUGCGCUGAUUGAGCGGCCGAUAUCAGAUUAGCUAGUUGGUGAGGUAAAGGCUCACCAAGGCGACGAUCUCUAGCUGGUCUGAGAGGACGAUCAGCCACACUGGGACUGAGACACGGCCCAGACUCCUACGGGAGGCAGCAGUGGGGAAUAUUGGACAAUGGGCGAAAGCCUGAUCCAGCAAUGCCGCGUGUGUGAAGAAGGCCUGAGGGUUGUAAAGCACUCUCAAUCGUGAAGAAAAGUUGCAGGCUAAUACCCUGUGACCUUGACGUUAACGAUACAAGAAGCACCGGCUAA
Molecule: ribosomal RNA, 475 nt
Filed under: uncultured bacterium
Lineage: Bacteria
Description: bacterial SSU rRNA
Rfam family: Bacterial small subunit ribosomal RNA
Source: RNAcentral